GACGAACGCUGGCGGUGUGCUUAACACAUGCAAGUCGAACGGUAAGGCCCUUUCGGGGGUACACGAGUGGCGAACGGGUGAGUAACACGUGAGUAACCUGCCCUCAUCUCUGGGAUAACAGUCGGAAACGGUUGCUAAUACUGGAUAUGAGCUUGCAAGGCAUCUUGUGGGUUGGAAAGAUUUUUUUUGGUUGGGGAUGGACUCGCGGCCUAUCAGCUUGUUUGUGAGGUAGUGGCUCACCAAGGCUUCGACGGGUAGCCGGCCUGAGAGGGCGACCGGCCACAUUGGGACUGAGAUACGGCCCAAACUCCUACGGGAGGCAGCAAUGGGGAAUAUUGCACAAUGGACGGAAGUCUGAUGCAGCAACGCCGCGUGCGGGAUGACGGCCUUCGGGUUGUAAACCGCUUUCAAUUGUGACGAAGCUUUUUUGUGACGGUAGCAGUAGAAGAAGCACCGGCUAACUACGUG
RNAcentral lists this ribosomal RNA (468 nucleotides) under uncultured bacterium. RNAcentral's name for it is "partial 16S ribosomal RNA". It matches the Rfam family "Bacterial small subunit ribosomal RNA", at positions 28 to 507 of the family's 1533-position model. The record is from RNAcentral.